Long non-coding RNA from Daphnia pulicaria, 1516 nucleotides. RefSeq lists it as uncharacterized. The record is from RefSeq and is a predicted model, not a curated record. The transcript is spliced from 4 exons. Lineage: Eukaryota; Metazoa; Arthropoda; Branchiopoda; Diplostraca; Daphniidae.
UUGAUUUUGGGCAGUAAAACAGGAAAAUUCGAAAACAGAAGAUGACAAAACUCUUCACACAUUUCGCCAUUUUCAAAACAAUACCAACACCAUCUAGCGGCACACUGGACAAUCGUCUGAAUUGUAAAAACAACCGCUAGAUAAUGCCAGUGCUUCAUGCAGACGAAACGAUUGUCCCAAGCUCCCAAGGAAGGAGAGAGUGACAGCUGAAAUGUGAAAUGUGGGAAAUCGAAAGAAUUCGAAAAGUGAAAUCAAUAUUCAGCAUGAUGUUUGACCAUGUUUGACACUGAAAAACUAACUUGACUUGGUAGUAAGUUAACUAAAUGUUUUCAUGCAUAUUUACCAGUUCAUUUGUCAUCAUUUGCCACGUAAUGACGACCAUUGUUGAAGCUGAAGCUGGCCAGGAAUUCUAAGCUGUCAUCAAUUCUGCAGCUGUAGUGUGCCUAUACUAAAAAUGGAAUCAAAAAUUGUAAUAUCACAGCAAUCUUACAAAUUUUCUGUUCUUGUCUUUCAGAUGGAUGUUUUGUAAAUGCUGAAUCCAAGAACUUCGUCAUUUCACUUGAUUGACUUUCUUUUCCGAUUUUAAUAAUGGUGAUAUUGCAAACAUACCAUAUUGCAAGUACUUACCUGAGCAGCUGAGCUGUUCCUUUCUGUGGUUCCUUUCAAUUGAUUCAUUUGAGACCUUAUCCACUAGUGGAAUAUGUAGAGAGAUGUUCAACUUAUUCCAAGUAUCUUGUCAUUAUCUAGCCAACCCCCCGUAAAUAAGGUAGAAGUAGAUAACUUACAAGUGCAUAUCUGGGCCCCCUUCUUUUCUGUGGUCCCGUUUCCCUAACCAACCACUAACCAACGUCCGCCGGUGGUCACUGACCGGCUGUGAUAACUAGGAGGAUGAGGAGGGCUCUGGUCGAAUGGAAACUUGAUUUCUCUCUUCUGCCUUGUCCAGGUAAACACGCUGGGCACAUUAUGAAAGGGAAAGUUUCCUCGUAACUGCAAGUGCGAGUUUUAGCAACUAAAUCGUUACAUGAGGAGAAUUAUUUAAGAAAAUAUUUGAGUAAAAAUAAGUUUUUUUAUUUAAUUUUAUAAUAAUAUAAGGAUAUUAUGGAAGUAGUUCCUUGAUCAUUCAUUGGUGUUUUUUAUACUUUAUUAAUUUAAAUCACAUUUUACUUCCGAGUCUAAAAUGUCUUUUUUAAGUUACAAGAGUAAAUUUAAACACAUAUUCAACGUCCUCCUCAUAAUACUCCCAAUUUCGAUCGUUUAUUAUUGAUUUAAUAUAAAACUUUUUUCUCUUCAAGAUAAAAAAAGGAUAAAGCAGACAAUACAACAACAUACUGGUUGCAACUUCCGCAACAUGAAAUUAUCUUCAAAGAACAACCACUGUUCAACUUGAUGCAAAAAGUCUUUUACCCUUGUCUUACCUACCACCGCUUUCAUCACAAACACCAUUUCCGAAACUGGCUAGAAAAUAAAUGGCGGAAAUUUGCCACGGACACUAAACUCUCUGCCCCCUGACGAGUGC